RNAcentral lists this small RNA (569 nucleotides) under Pan troglodytes (chimpanzee). RNAcentral describes it as "retained intron". The record is from RNAcentral. Lineage: Eukaryota; Metazoa; Chordata; Mammalia; Primates; Hominidae.
AGUUGCACGCUGAGCCGCGGACACCAUGCAGUCAGAUGAUGUUAUCUGGGAUACACUAGGAAACAAGCAAUUUUGUUCCUUCAAAAUAAGAACCAAGACUCAGAGCUUCUGCCGAAAUGAAUAUAGCCUGACUGGACUGUGUAAUCGGUCAUCCUGUCCCCUGGCAAAUAGUCAGUAUGCCACUAUUAAAGAAGAGAAAGGACAGUGCUACUUGUAUAUGAAGGUUAUAGAGCGAGCAGCUUUUCCUCGGCGUCUCUGGGAACGGGUCCGGCUUAGUAAAAACUAUGAGAAAGCACUGGAGCAAAUAGAUGAAAAUCUGAUUUACUGGCCCCGUUUCAUUCGACACAAAUGUAAGCAGAGAUUCACCAAGAUCACCCAAUACCUAAUUCGAAUUAGAAAACUUACACUAAAGCGACAGUAAGUAUGCGGAUCAUUCAUUAUUUUUAAAUCUCUCUUUUUAUGGAGCUUGUUUUGAAGUUGAGAAAUUGUGAAACUUCGGGGCUUUCUAUUCAACUUUGUGGAGUCUGUUAUGAUGUACUAAAGAGAAACUUUAGCUUUGACUAAAGGUG